RNAcentral lists this non-coding RNA (24 nucleotides) under Arabidopsis thaliana (thale cress). The record is from RNAcentral. Lineage: Eukaryota; Viridiplantae; Streptophyta; Magnoliopsida; Brassicales; Brassicaceae.
AGAUGAACUUACCUGACAGACGUG